GGUAUGUGGCUCAAGUGGUAGCACACUCGCCUAGCAUGUGUGAGGCCCUGGGUUCGAUUCUCAGCACCA
This 69-nucleotide transfer RNA is filed under the name Marmota monax (woodchuck). RNAcentral describes it as "tRNA.Ala". Lineage: Eukaryota; Metazoa; Chordata; Mammalia; Rodentia; Sciuridae. The record is from RNAcentral.